This 468-nucleotide ribosomal RNA is filed under the name uncultured bacterium. RNAcentral's name for it is "partial 16S ribosomal RNA". It matches the Rfam family "Bacterial small subunit ribosomal RNA", at positions 28 to 507 of the family's 1533-position model. The record is from RNAcentral.
GACGAACGCUGGCGGCGUGCUUAAUACAUGCAAGUCGAACGGAAAGGCCCUGCUUUUGUGGGGUGCUCGAGUGGCGAACGGGUGAGUAACACGUGAGUAACCUGCCCUUGACUUUGGGAUAACUUCAGGAAACUGGGGCUAAUACCGGAUAGGAGCUCCUGCUGCAUGGUGGGGGUUGGAAAGUUUCGGCGGUUGGGGAUGGACUCGCGGCUUAUCAGCUUGUUGGUGGGGUAGUGGCUUACCAAGGCUUUGACGGGUAGCCGGCCUGAGAGGGUGACCGGCCACAUUGGGACUGAGAUACGGCCCAGACUCCUACGGGAGGCAGCAGAGGGGAAUAUUGCACAAUGGGCGGAAGCCUGAUGCAGCAACGCCGCGUGCGGGAUGACGGCCUUCGGGUUGUAAACCGCUUUCGCCUGUGACGAAGCGUGAGUGACGGUAAUGGGUAAAGAAGCACCGGCUAACUACGUG